RNAcentral lists this transfer RNA (74 nucleotides) under Rhizobium sp. YS-1r. It matches the Rfam family "tRNA". Rfam says of the family: Transfer RNA (tRNA) molecules are approximately 80 nucleotides in length. Their secondary structure includes four short double-helical elements and three loops (D, anti-codon, and T loops). RNAcentral also lists the same sequence under 1 other name. The record is from Rfam by way of RNAcentral. Lineage: Bacteria; Pseudomonadati; Pseudomonadota; Alphaproteobacteria; Hyphomicrobiales; Rhizobiaceae.
CGGGGCGUAGCGCAGCCCGGUAGCGCACUUGACUGGGGGUCAAGGGGUCGUGGGUUCAAAUCCCGCCGCCCCGA